UACGGGGGGGGCAAGCGUUGUUCGGAAUUACUGGGCGUAAAGGGCUCGUAGGUGGCCAACUAAGUCAGACGUGAAAUCCCUCAGCUUAACUGGGGAAGUGCGCCCGAAACUGCAGAGCUUGAGUGCCGGAGAGGGUGGCGGAAUUCCCCAAGUAGAGGUGAAAUUCGUAGAUAUGGGGAGGAACACCGGUGGCGAAGGCGGCCACCUGGACGGUAACUGACGCUGAGACGCGAAAGCGUGGGGAGCAAACAGG
Molecule: ribosomal RNA, 253 nt
Filed under: uncultured bacterium
Lineage: Bacteria
Description: partial 16S ribosomal RNA
Rfam family: Bacterial small subunit ribosomal RNA
Source: RNAcentral